RNAcentral lists this non-coding RNA (115 nucleotides) under Enterobacter cancerogenus. Its description in RNAcentral is "ALIL pseudoknot". It matches the Rfam family "ALIL pseudoknot". The record is from RNAcentral. Lineage: Bacteria; Pseudomonadati; Pseudomonadota; Gammaproteobacteria; Enterobacterales; Enterobacteriaceae.
GCGUAUUUUGCGAAGGCGGAGUUCGACCGCCUGUGGAAAAAAUAGUGCCCCUGGUGGAUACCCUGCGUGAUGAGCACGGGGUCGGACCGGUAUGCCACGAGCUGGAUAUCGCCCC